UCCCAUUUGGGUUAUAUCUCUUUCAGCUUUGAUCCUCCCUAGUAUAUUGCUUGCUCUCUUCUGUGGGCACAUACUGAAUUAGAGUAAUUUCCAUAUGUAUCCUUUCCCACCGUGGGUUAUAUGCGCUAUAAAAUAGAGAUUGUGUCUAUUUUUCUUUCUUACUUUCUCAAUUAAUCAAUGUGUUUUCCUUAUAAAGCAAGUUGCUCAUAGUUUUUUACUUGAAUAAUUUGAGUCAUAUUAAUGACUAGAAGUUCAGGUACUAUGGCAGGCUGAAGCAAAAGGAGACAUUUUUUACCUCACGUUAUUUAAUAUAGUUGAAUGCCAAACGUGGCUAGCAGGAAGGGCAGCCAUUAGUUAAGUAAGGCAGUUCCUCAAGGAAAGCUAAAGUCAAGUUUUAGGUUGGUUUGGUGAUCCUCACUCAGCAAUAUCCUUAAACAUCCGUCUUCUGUCUGUAGGUUGUAGGAGACAAAAUUGUCUGUCAAAAUGAGUAGGGAAAGAUGAAUACUUUCCCAACCACUAGGAUGUAAUUGUUCAGAAAUUCACUGAGUAAAACGCUGUGUUCUUCUGCCACAGGUUUUUCUUUAUGUCAUUUGGUGUUACCAGGACAAGCAGUGAUGCUGUGGGGAUAGCAUAGGAGUUCUGAUUUGUUCCUUGGGCUCUUGGCCAUUGUGAGAGUAAAGAGCUGUCAAGCCAGAGCUCCAGUGUUGGCUCUUGGGGGAGACCCUGUUUGACUUCCACAGCUCAAAGCGGCAAAAUCUUUUGCAGAAAGAAGGACACCAUGACUGAAUUUGAACCAAAGUACAUUAAGGAUACAAGUCAGGAUGGAGGAACUGAGGCUCGUCAGCUUGCCCAGUGGAGUCAGGUGGUCUGUGAGCCACUCUGAAAUUCAGAGGUUUCCAUAAUGCCUGUGGAUGCUGCGAGGUGAGCAAAAAUACCACCAUUU
RNAcentral lists this long non-coding RNA (943 nucleotides) under Neogale vison (American mink). RNAcentral's name for it is "Neovison vison (American mink) lncRNA (ENSNVIG00000012343.1)". The record is from RNAcentral. Lineage: Eukaryota; Metazoa; Chordata; Mammalia; Carnivora; Mustelidae.